This 301-nucleotide ribosomal RNA is filed under the name uncultured bacterium. RNAcentral describes it as "partial 16S ribosomal RNA". It matches the Rfam family "Bacterial small subunit ribosomal RNA", at positions 509 to 807 of the family's 1533-position model. The record is from RNAcentral.
CAGUAGCCGCGGGAAUACGUAGGUGGCAAGCGUUGUCCGGAAUUAUUGGGCGUAAAGGGCUCGCAGGCGGUUUCUUAAGUCUGAUGUGAAAGCCCCCGGCUCAACCGGGGAGAGUCAUUGGAAACUGGGAAACUUGAGUGCAGAAGAGGAGAGUGGAAUUCCACGUGUAGCGGUGAAAUGCGUAGAGAUGUGGAGGAACACCAGUGGCGAAGGCGACUCUCUGGUCUGUAACUGACGCUGAGGCUCGAAAGCGUGGGUAGCAAACAGGAUUAGAGACCCGUGUAGUCCCUGUCUCUUAUAC